GAUGAACGCUGGCGGCGUGCCUAAUACAUGCAAGUCGAGCGAACAGACGAGGAGCUUGCUCCUCUGACGUUAGCGGCGGACAGGUGAGUAACACGUGGAUAACCUACCUAUAAGACUGGGAUAACUUCGGGAAACCGGAGCUAAUACCGGAUAAUAUAUUGAACCGCAUGGUUCAAUAGUGAAAGACGGUUUUGCUGUCACUUAUAGAUGGAUCCGCGCCGCAUUAGCUAGUUGGUAAGGUAACGGCUUACCAAGGCAACGAUGCGUAGCCGACCUGAGAGGGUGAUCGGCCACACUGGAACUGAGACACGGUCCAGACUCCUACGGGAGGCAGCAGUAGGGAAUCUUCCGCAAUGGGCGAAAGCCUGACGGGGCAACGCCGCGUGAGUGAUGAAGGUCUUCGGAUCGUAAAACUCUGUUAUUAGGGAAGAACAAAUGUGUAAGUAACUAUGCACGUCUUGACGGUACCUAAUCAGAAAGCCACGGCUAACUACGUG
This 497-nucleotide ribosomal RNA is filed under the name uncultured bacterium. RNAcentral's name for it is "partial 16S ribosomal RNA". It matches the Rfam family "Bacterial small subunit ribosomal RNA", at positions 28 to 507 of the family's 1533-position model. The record is from RNAcentral.